RNAcentral lists this unclassified non-coding RNA (210 nucleotides) under Glomeromycotina sp. Its description in RNAcentral is "partial contains small subunit ribosomal RNA, internal transcribed spacer 1, and 5.8S ribosomal RNA". The stretch from base 1 to 47 matches the Rfam family "Eukaryotic small subunit ribosomal RNA", at positions 1785 to 1831 of the family's 1831-position model. Lineage: Eukaryota; Fungi; Glomeromycota. The record is from RNAcentral.
AAAGUCGUAACAAGGUUUCCGUAGGUGAACCUGCGGAAGGAUCAUUAACACGUAUCUUAAAACAAUACGUUUUAACCCCCUUUUUUUCAAUUCAUUUUGAAAAACCCCCUAAACUGUAUCUUUCUAAAACAAUAGUCGUUCCUAUAUUGGGAGUGACUCUAAAACAACUUAAAAAAAGAACAACUCUUAACAACGGAUAUCUUGGUUCUC